UGCCAGCCGCCGCGGUAAGACGAACCGUACAAACAUUAUUCGGAAUCACUGGGCUUAAAGGGUGCGUAGGCGGCGCGGUAAGUUGGGUGUGAAAUCCCUCGGCUCAACCGAGGAAUUGCGCCCAAAACUACCGUGCUCGAGGGAGAUAGAGGUGAGCGGAACUUAGGGUGGAGCGGUGAAAUGCGUUGAUAUCCUAAGGAACACCAGUGGCGAAAGCGGCUCACUAGAUCUCUUCUGACGCUGAGGCACGAAAGCUAGGGGAGCGAACGGGAUUAGAUA
RNAcentral lists this ribosomal RNA (279 nucleotides) under uncultured bacterium. Its description in RNAcentral is "partial 16S ribosomal RNA". It matches the Rfam family "Bacterial small subunit ribosomal RNA", at positions 506 to 784 of the family's 1533-position model. The record is from RNAcentral.